This 366-nucleotide long non-coding RNA is filed under the name Bemisia tabaci. Its description in RNAcentral is "lncRNA ENSSWEETPG003563". Lineage: Eukaryota; Metazoa; Arthropoda; Insecta; Hemiptera; Aleyrodidae. The record is from RNAcentral.
AUGACUCAGGUGGAAUCUACAUCUCCAGAGGAAAAGCCCCGGCAGAAUCAACCGGAAGACAGCCAAAAAACCAGAGGAAAACUUCCGUUCAAAGUUUGGUUCCACGAAGUUCCUGUGCCCGGAAGAUCUAACAUAUCACCGGCUCACCCCCUGUCCCACGGCUUGGAUGGUACUACGACGUUAAAUUUACUCCGAUUGAGCUACUGCGAGAUCGUCGCUUUAAUUUCCACAAAAGAACUUCGGAUAUUAUCAAACUCGAGGCUCGGAUCGGAGCGCAGAAAUCAGUUCACUCAUAGGCGCUGUCAAUAUUUUCAAUAUUCUCGACGCUCAAUGUGUGCACAUACGAAGAGAUGGAGGGUCAGAUGA